UGGAGGGCAAGUCUGGUGCCAGCAGCCGCGGUAAUUCCAGCACCAAUAGCGUAUAUUAAAGUUGUUGCAGUUAAAAAGCUCGUAGUUGAAUUUCGGGGUUCUUCCGUUGGUCAGGCUAACAAGUCUGUACUAGCGUGUAGAAUCUCUACCUUCUGGGGAACCAUCAUGUUAUUAAUUUAGCGUGGUGGGAAACCAGGACCUUUACCUUGAAAAAAUUAGAGUGUUCAAAGCAGGCUUAUGUCUGAAUACAUUAGCAUGGAAUAAUAGAAUAGGACGGUGGUCCUGUUUUGUUGGUUUCUGAAUCACCGUAAUGAUUAAUAGGGAUAGUUGGGGGCAUUAGUAUUCAAUUGUCAGAGGUGAAAUUCUUGGAUUUAUUGAAGACUAACUUCUGCGAAAGCAUUUGCCAAGGAUGUUUUCAUUAAUCAAGAACGAAAGUUAGGGGAUCGAAGACGAUCAGAUACCGUCGUAGUCUUAACCAUAAACUAUGCCGACUGGGGAUCGGACGAUGUUAAAUUUUAUUGACUCGUUCGGCGCCUUACGGGAAAC
This 546-nucleotide ribosomal RNA is filed under the name uncultured Glomeromycotina. RNAcentral describes it as "SSU rRNA". It matches the Rfam family "Eukaryotic small subunit ribosomal RNA", at positions 549 to 1098 of the family's 1831-position model. The record is from RNAcentral. Lineage: Eukaryota; Fungi; Glomeromycota.